This 428-nucleotide ribosomal RNA is filed under the name uncultured prokaryote. RNAcentral describes it as "bacterial SSU rRNA". It matches the Rfam family "Bacterial small subunit ribosomal RNA", at positions 355 to 774 of the family's 1533-position model. The record is from RNAcentral.
UGGGGAAUAUUGCGCAAUGGGCGAACGCCUGACGCAGCGACGCAGCGUGAGGGAAGAAGGCCUUCGGGUCGUAAACCUCUGUCUAGAGGGAAGAAACCAUUGAGGUCGAACAGGCCUCUUUGCUGACGGUACCUCUGAAGGAAGCACCGGCUAACUCCGUGCCAGCAGCCGCGGUAAUACGGAGGGUGCGAGCGUUAAUCGGAAUCACUGGGCGUAAAGCGCACGUAGGCGGUGUCGUAAGUCGGAUGUGAAAGCCCUCGGCUCAACCGGGGAACUGCAUUCGAUACUGCGAUGCUUGAGUGCCGGAGAGAGUGGCGGAAUUCCAGGUGGAGGAGUGAAGUCCGGAGAUAGCUGGAGGAACACCAGUGGCGAAGGCGGCUGCCUGGACCGAUAUUGACGCUGAGACGCGAAAGCGUGGGUAGCAAACA